AUGCUCCAUGCUGCUAAUGUGGCAAUCAGGAUAGGAUGUGAUCGGCUAAUUUUAGAAACCGACUCUCUUUUGUUGAAGCAGGCUUUAACAUCAAAUAUUUAUGAUCUAUCACAUUUAGGUGCUAUUUUCAGAGAUAUCAAAUGUCAACAUAGAGUUGGUUUAUCUCAUGUAUCUGUCAAACACUGCAGCAGGAAAUGUAACCAUGUUGCAUACACUUUAGCUGCACAUAGCACAACUAUGAGUAGAAGUACAUGGGAAAUUUGGCUUGACCAAUUUCCACCAUUUGUAUCAGACUGUGUAGCUGGAGAUUUUUCCAGCACUGCUAUAUAA
This 330-nucleotide ribosomal RNA is filed under the name Triticum aestivum (bread wheat). Its description in RNAcentral is "partial small subunit ribosomal RNA". The record is from RNAcentral. Lineage: Eukaryota; Viridiplantae; Streptophyta; Magnoliopsida; Poales; Poaceae.